GAUGCCCACUGAGCAAUAAGGGGCACCGGGGACACCGAAGCGCCCGGCUCUACGCUCCCGGAGAGGGUGAGAGACCAGGGACGCUCCCGGGGACAGCAUGAGGUGAAGCCAGGCGAAACCCACACCACCAGGGACGAGGAGUGAAUCACCACGGCAAUCACCAGCACCACUGCACAGGCUGCAGCUAGCUUCCGGAAGCCGCCGGUACCGCUUCAGGAAUUUUCCCGAACGUUCCGGUUGCACAGGCGCAGAAGAGACGGGAAGAGGGGCCAGAGCCGGGCGGUGAAUAGGAGAUUUUCUGCCGGACUCCCACAGGAUCUCAUGUAGUUCAUACUGGGCUCAUUUUUUGCUGUACUCCUUUACUUAGCCUUGGCUCAGAGCCCAAUUUGGCUUUGGAAGUCUUACAUGUCUGCCUCAUUCUCCCAAGUGCUGGGAUUACAGGAUGCACUGAGUUUUACCAAGGUCAUGUGUCAAUUCUUUUUUUUUAUAUAUUGGAUAUUUUAUUUACAUUUUAGAUGCUAUCCCCUUUCCCCAUUCCCCCCCACCCAAAAACCCCCAUCU
Long non-coding RNA from Grammomys surdaster, 561 nucleotides. RefSeq lists it as uncharacterized. Lineage: Eukaryota; Metazoa; Chordata; Mammalia; Rodentia; Muridae. The transcript has 5 exons. The record is from RefSeq and is a predicted model, not a curated record.